AAGAAGCGAAGCGACGCUAUUGGAAAGAGAGAAAAAGAAAAUAAAAGAAGAGGCUAGAUGAGAGAAGGGGGAAAGGGAGAAAGAGGUUGAGGAAGUUUUGGGAUUGGGUGGGUUUGGUAAGAAAACUUGAUCAUAUAUCUGAAUGAACUCGUUUCCUACCGAUUCCACCCAUUCCGAUGAUUUCCUCGGUCUCCUCCUUUUCCCCUUUGCUGUCCUGUCCAACCCUUUUCCCGACUAUUCUCUGUGCAAUCAGAUGCUGCUGGUAAGUUGCUAAAUACAUGAGAUGUGGGCAGCAAGAUAUUGGCCUGCCCUGCAAUGGGAACUGCCCUUGGCUCUACCUCCACCAAAGACGUGGCAUGCCAAUUGUUGAGUUUCCAUCACUUGUAUUAUAAGCUCAACCUGAGUUCAGUUCCUCGAAUUCGAGGGCAUUCGGAAUUUCUUUUCUCCAAAAGAAGAUGAUUGGGUUUUUCAGCUGCGAUUGAACGCUCGCAAAUGGUAUUGCUACAUUAAUAGUGCUAUCAAUGUGCCAACUUUUCCCAAAUACGUGUGUGUUAUAUAAUUUUUUUUCUUUUCCCUGAAUCUAACAAUUCUUCGGUAGGCUCUUUCCGGGGCUUUCGUCUUUUGGGUUUUCAUUGGGCCGAUUGUUGGGCUUUCAUUUUCGAUUGUAAAAUGUAUUCUCCAUUUACCAAGAACCUUCUCCAUUACCGUCUGACCAAAACAAAAAACAAAAAACAAGUCCCCAAAAAUGCCUUGCUGAUAUUUACCUUUUUAACCCCUGAAAAACACAUAAGUCUCCUCACUGGUUUCUUCUAGAGUUUUAGUCUCAGAAAUAUAUAUAUAUGGGAGAGGGAAAGUGACUUUACUCAUAACUACUACUACUCAAAUACAUAGACAAGGAGAUCAAAAGCAGGCAGCAAGAGGAAAUGGAAAUUUUUGGGUGAGAGGUUGCCGGAAAGAAUACAUAAUAUUCAUACAAGUUUUGAUAUUAAACUCUUUCCGAAACCUCCCAUUCCAAUGAUUUCCAGCUAUUCCUUUCUCUUCUCCAACCUAACCCAACACAAGACAAAUAGAGUUUGUGCCUUUAUUCUAUUCCACCAACCAGUCCACGCCACCGAUACUUAAAGGCUGAACCCCUCCCCUCCAAAAUAAUUUGUUCAAUUCACAUCAAUGGAAUGGUUCCUUUCAGUUCCAGAUGAAAAGAGAGACAGAGACAGAGACAGAGAGAGAAGAGGGAAAGGGAGAAGAGCUUGAGGAAGUUUUUGGCCAUGGGAGGUUUGGCAAGAAAUAUUUAUUAUAUAUUCUACUACUUCAGGUUCUGUUUGAAGUAUGUAUGUAUAAGUAGUUCUUGCCUAUUCCUCCCAUGCCAAUGAUUUCCUAAUUGGGUUCAUCUCUUUCCCUUGCUUUUCUUAUAUCUGGACAAUCGUUUAUUUUGUGAAGGAAGUCACAUGGGGAUGGAGCUCAAUUUUUAUCAAUUUGUUAAACUCAUUUGGGCUGGCUUUU
Long non-coding RNA from Prunus dulcis (almond), 1500 nucleotides. RefSeq lists it as uncharacterized. The record is from RefSeq and is a predicted model, not a curated record. The transcript has 3 exons. Lineage: Eukaryota; Viridiplantae; Streptophyta; Magnoliopsida; Rosales; Rosaceae.